RNAcentral lists this long non-coding RNA (651 nucleotides) under Canis lupus familiaris (dog). Its description in RNAcentral is "lncRNA (ENSCAFG00845001968.1)". Lineage: Eukaryota; Metazoa; Chordata; Mammalia; Carnivora; Canidae. The record is from RNAcentral.
CUUGCCAUUUACUUGGGUUCUGCUUUGUAACUAGCCAUUUUUGUUUUUAACAAGUAGGGCUUAAUGAACCGACUUUAAUCAGCUGCUAUGUUUAUGCUGGAAUAUUUUUUAAAGGUUUUGAAAAUCUACUGAUUCUCAAUACUUUUUAAUUUAAUUUUGGAAUUUGUUUCAAAUUAGUUUGAUAGGGAAGACUUGGAAAGACUUCUAAAAUAUCUGAGCAUUUCUCUUCUGUUGGGAAACUAGUUCUCAGCCACUUCAGAAGAUGGGCAUGUCAGCACCCAGCACGAAGGCAGGUAUGUGACUCCAAUAAAACCAAUCAGAACUCUUCCUUGUGUUAUAUACAGGGAGUGAGAGGCCUUCUAGUUCCUUUGGGAUUGCUACAGUAGGAUAAUGUAAGCUGGAAGCUGAAUAAAAACUGAUAAUGUAAACUUACAUUAUAUUAUUAAACUAUAGAGGCUUAAAAUAAAAUAAUUUUGUGUUUAAAAGGGAAAACAUUAAUUGUAUGAAAAUUUUCAGUUAUAAUUUCUCAGAGAGGCUGAAAAAUGAAGUACCAUUUUAAGGAUUUCUUUAAAAAAAUGACAUGGUAGUGAUAGUCAUGAUUCAGUAUUAGAUUUAUCUAAAACACAAAGGAGAAUAAUUUUUGACUGAUUA